RNAcentral lists this ribosomal RNA (478 nucleotides) under uncultured bacterium. RNAcentral describes it as "partial 16S ribosomal RNA". It matches the Rfam family "Bacterial small subunit ribosomal RNA", at positions 28 to 507 of the family's 1533-position model. The record is from RNAcentral.
GAUGAACGCUGGCGGCGUGCUUAACACAUGCAAGUCGAACAAGAAGUGAAGACGGAAACCUUCGGGCGGAAGGCUUUAUUUCGAGUGGCGGACGGGUGAGUAACGCGUGGGUAACCUGCCUCAUACAGGGGGAUAACAGUUGGAAACGACUGUUAAUACCGCAUAAGACCACAGCACCGCAUGGUGCGGGGGUAAAAACUCCGGUGGUAUGAGAUGGACCCGCGUUCGAUUAGCCAGUUGGCGGGGUAACGGCCCACCAAAGCGACGAUCGAUAGCCGAUCUGAGAGGAUGACCGGCCACAUUGGGACUGAGACACGGCCCAAACUCCUACGGGAGGCAGCAGUGGGGAAUAUUGCACAAUGGGGGAAACCCUGAUGCAGCGACGCCGCGUGAGUGAAGAAGUAUUUCGGUAUGUAAAGCUCUAUCAGCAGGGAAGAAAAUGACGGUACCUGAGUAAGAAGCCCCGGCUAACUACGUG